GGCUGUCGUCAGCUCGUGUCGUGAGAUGUUGGGAUAAGUCCCGCAACGAGCGCAACCCUUGCCCUUAGUUGCCAGCAGGUUAAGCUGGGCACCCUAAGGGAACUGUCGGCGAAAAGCCGGAGGAAGGUGGGGAUGACGUCAAGUCCUCAUGGCCCUUACGUCCCGGGCUACACACGUGCUACAAUGGUCGGUACAAAGGGUUGCCAACCCGCGAGGGGGAGCUAAUCCCAAAAAGCCGAUCUCAGUUCGGAUUGCAGUCUGCAACAAGAACUGCAUGAAGGCGGAAUCGCUAGUAAUCGCAGAUCAGCAUGCUGCGGUGAAUACGUUCCCGG
Molecule: ribosomal RNA, 332 nt
Filed under: uncultured Acidobacteriota bacterium
Lineage: Bacteria; Pseudomonadati; Acidobacteriota
Description: bacterial SSU rRNA
Rfam family: Bacterial small subunit ribosomal RNA
Source: RNAcentral